RNAcentral lists this ribosomal RNA (253 nucleotides) under uncultured prokaryote. RNAcentral's name for it is "partial 16S ribosomal RNA". It matches the Rfam family "Bacterial small subunit ribosomal RNA", at positions 524 to 776 of the family's 1533-position model. The record is from RNAcentral.
UACGUAGGGUGCGAGCGUUAAUCGGAAUUACUGGGCGUAAAGCGUGCGCAGGCGGUGGCUCAAGCCAGGCGUGAAAUCCCCGGGCUUAACCUGGGAACUGCAUUUGAGACUGCAUGGCUAGAGUAUGGAAGAGGGAAGUGGAAUUUCCGGUGUAGCGGUGAAAUGCGUAGAUAUCGGAAGGAACACCAGUGGCGAAGGCGGCUCACUGGACCGGUACUGACGCUGAUGCGCGAAAGCGUGGGGAGCAAACGGG